GGCGGACGGGUGAGUAACGCGUAGGAAUCUACCCAGUAGUGGGGGACAACUCGGGGAAACCCGAGCUAAUACCGCACACGCCCUAAGGGGGAAAGCAGGGGAUCUUCGGACCUUGCGCUAUCGGAUGAGCCUGCGUCGGAUUAGCUUGUUGGUGAGGUAAUGGCUCACCAAGGCGACGAUCCGUAGCUGGUCUGAGAGGAUGAUCAGCCACACUGGGACUGAGACACGGCCCAGACUCCUACGGGAGGCAGCAGUGGGGAAUAUUGGACAAUGGGGGAAACCCUGAUCCAGCCAUGCCGCGUGUGUGAAGAAGGCUCUAGGGUUGUAAAGCACUUUCAGUAGGGAGGAAAAGUUGAUAGCUAAUAACUGUCAGCCCUGACGUUACCUACAGAAGAAGCACCGGCAAACUCCGUGCCAGCAGCCGCGGUAAUACGGAGGGUGCGAGCGUUAAUCGGAAUUACUGGGCGUAAAG
RNAcentral lists this ribosomal RNA (472 nucleotides) under bacterium enrichment culture clone A12_2-A9_096 (2/59). Its description in RNAcentral is "bacterial SSU rRNA". It matches the Rfam family "Bacterial small subunit ribosomal RNA", at positions 97 to 565 of the family's 1533-position model. The record is from RNAcentral.